AUUGAACGCUGGCGGCAUGCCUUACACAUGCAAGUCGAACGGUAACGCGGGGCAACCUGGCGACGAGUGGCGAACGGGUGAGUAAUGCAUCGGAACGUGCCCAGUAGUGGGGGAGUAGCCCGGCGAAAGCCGGAUUAAUACCGCAUACGACCUACGGGUGAAAGACGGGGGACCGGUAAGGCCUCGCGCUAUUGGAGCGGCCGAUGUCAGAUUAGGUAGUUGGUGGGGUAAAGGCCUACCAAGCCUACGAUCUGUAGCUGGUCUGAGAGGACGACCAGCCACACUGGGACUGAGACACGGCCCAGACUCCUACGGGAGGCAGCAGUGGGGAAUUUUGGACAAUGGGCGCAAGCCUGAUCCAGCCAUGCCGCGUGCGGGG
This 379-nucleotide ribosomal RNA is filed under the name uncultured bacterium. Its description in RNAcentral is "bacterial SSU rRNA". It matches the Rfam family "Bacterial small subunit ribosomal RNA", at positions 29 to 408 of the family's 1533-position model. The record is from RNAcentral.